RNAcentral lists this ribosomal RNA (253 nucleotides) under uncultured bacterium. RNAcentral describes it as "partial 16S ribosomal RNA". It matches the Rfam family "Bacterial small subunit ribosomal RNA", at positions 524 to 776 of the family's 1533-position model. The record is from RNAcentral.
UACGGAGGGUGCAAGCGUUAUCCGGAUUCACUGGGUUUAAAGGGUGCGUAGGAGGGCAGGUAAGUCAGUGGUGAAAUCUCCAAGCUUAACUUGGAAACUGCCGUUGAUACUAUCUGUCUUGAAUACCGUGGAGGUGAGCGGAAUAUGUCAUGUAGCGGUGAAAUGCUUAGAUAUGACAUAGAACACCAAUUGCGAAGGCAGCUCGCUACACGAAUAUUGACGCUGAGGUGCGAAAGCGUGGGGAGCAAACAGG